GCACGUAGUUAGCCGGCGCUUCUUCUGCCUUGUACCGUCACUUUCGCUUCUUCCCUACUGAAAGAGGUUUACAACCCGAAGGCCGUCAUCCCUCACGCGGCGUCGCUGCAUCAGGCUUUCGCCCAUUGUGCAAUAUUCCCCA
RNAcentral lists this ribosomal RNA (142 nucleotides) under uncultured bacterium. RNAcentral's name for it is "partial 16S ribosomal RNA". The record is from RNAcentral.